CCAUUCUUAAAUAUAAAUGAUUGAAAAAGUCAUCAGAGGAUAUCUUGAUAAAAAAGUUAUAGACGUCGCGCGACGAAACAUCAUAGUGAGGCACAUGCCUAUGAACUAUGAGUCUCUUUGGAAAACUUGCAUAUAAUAUUUGUAAAAUCCACUAUGUGAAUUGAAUCAUCUUAGUAACAUAGAAAAAAAUCAAACGAGAGUUCGUAAGUAACGGUGAGUGAAAUCGAAUUUAGCUUAAUGCCAAAACCCAAAGUAGGUGAUCAGUCCCAUAUGGCAUUUAUAAUAAUUUCAAAGUAAUACUAUUAAUUAUGUAUGAAAAUAGGAGUCCCAUCUUCUAAGCUAAAAGCUUUUUUAAUCGAUAGUGAACGAGUACCGUGAGGGAAAGAUUUGAAUCUGUUGAUUUAUAUUUAUUUGAAGCUGAUAAGUACAGCAACAAAGUGCCUUUUGCAUAAUGAGUCAGUAAGUUAAUAUAUGUAGCAAGUUUAAACAUAAAAUAAAGACUUUUUAGUUACAUGUAUUAGACCCGAAGCCAAGUGAUCUAAUCUUGAGCAAGUUGAAGAUGCUUUAAAAAGUAUUGGAGGGCUGAACCCACGUCUGUUGAAAAAUACGGGGAUGACUUGAGAUUAGGGGUGAAAGUCCAAUCAAACUUGGUGAUAGCUGGUUUUCCGCGAAAACUAUCAAAGUAGUGCGUUGCUAGUUUAAAAUGUGGGUAGAGCAACUUACUAAAUUUAGAUUUUGCUAAAUUUUAUUAAACUCCAAACUAUAUUUUAAUUGAAGCAGCAGACAGUCGUUGGGCGACAAGGUCCUUCGUCAAAAGGGAAACAACCCUAAUCGAUAGCUAAGAUCUCAAAAUUAUAAAUUAGUGGAAAAAUGGGAAAUAAUUCGAAUAAACAGAGUAGGCUUAGAAGCAGCCACCUAUUGGAGAAAGCGUUUUAGCUCAUUAUUUUUAUUUAUUUUACCUAUUUAAAAUGUAUGGAGACUUAAAUUUAUAUAUCGAAGCUUCGAAUCAAACCAAAUUUGGUUUAAUGGUAGCGGAACGUCCUGUAGUCUUUUGUGUUAAUGAAAAAUUGCAUAUAUAAAAUCAGGAGUGCUAAUGCUGACAUGAGUAGCGUUAAUCAUGUUGAAAAUAAAUCAUGAUCGUCUAUUGUUCAAGGGUUUCCAGUAAAUUUUAAGUAACUGGAGUUAGUCGGCCCUUAAGAAAAAAGUGAAAACUGUAUUCGACAGGAAUUAUCAAACCACAUGCAUGCAAAAUAGUAUUAUAUUUGUGAAAAAAAAUAAUUUUUUGUAGUUGUCCAUUAAACUGUCAACAACAAAACAAAUUGUUUUUCUGGAAAAUAUGCAUGGAGCUUGACCGUACCUAGAACCGACACAGGUGAACUGAUUGAAAAGAUAAAGACGAAUGAGAUAACUAUGCUUAAGGAACUCGGCAAAUUUACUCCGUACGCUCGCAAAAAGGAGUACCUUUUUAAGGUUUCAAAAAUUAGGGGUAGCGACUGUUUAACAAAAACUUAAAACUUUGCAAAUUCGAAAGAAGAAGUAUAAGGUUUGACGCCUGCCCAGUGCUUGAAAGUGAAAAAUUACGUGUUUAUGCAUGUGUUAUAAACCCAAGUAAACGGCGGUCUUAACUAUAAGGAUCCUCAGGUAGCGAAAUUCCUUGGCGGGUAAAUUCCGUCCUGCAUGAAUGGCGUCACGACUACCCCACUGUCUUUAGCAUAGACUCAGCGAAAUUACAUUGUCUGUGAAAAUGCAGACACCCUGCAACAAGACGGAAAGACCCUAUGAUUCUUUACUAUAAUUUUGCAUCGUAAUAAUUUUAUUUGUAGUACAGUAAAAGUAGAAGUAUAGUUAUGCCAUUUUGAAAAACUACUCUCCAAGUAAAAGAUUACUUACUUAUUAGGAAAUAUGUAAAAAUGGUAGUUUACUUGGGACGAGGACCUCCUAAAGUGUAACGGAGGUGCACAAAGGUAAAUUUUAAUUAGUAAAACAGGCUAAUAUAAAGUGUAAUGAUAAAAAUUUGCCUGACGGUAAGAGUUACAACUCAAACCGAGACGAAAGUCGGUCAUAAUGAUCCGGCAGUAGUGUAUGGAAAUACUGUCGCUUAUCGGAAAAAAGAAACUCUAGGGAUAACAGAUUUAUCAUGGUUGAGAGUUCUUAUCGAUGCCAUGGUUUGAUACCUCGAUGUCGGCUCAUCUUUUCCUGGAGCUGAAACAGGUUCCAAGGGUAUGGUUGUUCGCCAAAUAAUAAGAUACGUGAGCUGGGUUCAGAACGUCGUGAGACAGUUCGGUCCCUAUCUGUUGCGGGAAAAGAAAAGAAAAAAGUCUAUCUUUAGUACGAGAGGAUUGAGAUAUAUUAACCAAUAGUGUAUCGGUUGUAAAGUUUCUUGCAUAGCCGAGUAGCCACGUUACCACUAUAUAAGCGCUGACAGCUUAAAAGCGUAAAAAUAACUUUUUAACUUUUCAAGAACAUUCUAGGAGAUCACUAGAUAGAUCGGUUUAUUAUGUAAUACUUGUAAAAGUAAGUAAAUAAAUACGAAAUGUUCAUUAUAUUUUAGUGUUAUAUUUAAGAACGGGUUAACCCGUUCUUAAACA
Molecule: ribosomal RNA, 2588 nt
Filed under: Porphyra umbilicalis (laver)
Lineage: Eukaryota; Rhodophyta; Bangiophyceae; Bangiales; Bangiaceae
Description: large subunit ribosomal RNA
Rfam family: Bacterial large subunit ribosomal RNA
Source: RNAcentral